CCAGAUCCCAUCAGGGUCGAUGAUGCCAACUUUAUUGGUUGGUGAUUUUAUUCUGGUGGAGAAGUUUUCGUACGAUGUGAAAGAUCCGGU
Molecule: transfer RNA, 90 nt
Filed under: Rheinheimera sp.
Lineage: Bacteria; Pseudomonadati; Pseudomonadota; Gammaproteobacteria; Chromatiales; Chromatiaceae
Description: tRNA-Ile(tat)
Source: RNAcentral